Molecule: ribosomal RNA, 274 nt
Filed under: uncultured bacterium
Lineage: Bacteria
Description: partial 16S ribosomal RNA
Rfam family: Bacterial small subunit ribosomal RNA
Source: RNAcentral
AUACAGAGGGUGCGAGCGUUAAUCGGAAUUACUGGGCGUAAAGCGCGCGUAGGCGGCUUGGUCAGUCGGAUGUGAAAGCCCUGGGCUCAACCUGGGAAUUGCAUUCGAUACUGCCAAGCUAGAGUAUGGGAGAGGGAACUGGAAUUUCCGGUGUAGCGGUGAAAUGCGUAGAUAUCGGAAAGAACACCAGUGGCGAAGGCGACUUCCUGGCCCAAUACUGACGCUGAGGUGCGAAAGCGUGGGGAGCGAACAGGAUUAGAAACCCUAGUAGUCC